AUGUGGUUUAAUUCGACGCAACGCGAAGAACCUUACUGGCUUGACAUCCCUGACAGUCCUGGAAACAGGAUCUUUUCUUCGGAAACAGGGUGACAGGUGCUGCAUGGCUGUCGUCAGCUCGUGUCGUGAGAUGUUGGGUUAAGUCCCGCAACGAGCGCAACCCUUAUCUUUAGUUACCAUCAUUCAGUUGGGGACUCUAAAGACACUGCCCCGGUCAACGGGGAGGAAGGUGGGAUGACGUCAAAUCAUCAUGCCCCUUAUGUUCUGGGCUACACACGUGCUACAAUGGCCGGUACAGACGGACGCAAAGCCGCGAGGUGGAGCAAAUCCUAAAAAGCCGGUCUCAGUUCGGAUUGCAGGCUGCAAUUCGCCUGCAUGAAGUCGGAAUCGCUAGUAAUCGCAGGUCAGCAUACUGCGGUGAAUACGUUCCCGGGCCUU
Molecule: ribosomal RNA, 438 nt
Filed under: uncultured Peptococcaceae bacterium
Lineage: Bacteria; Bacillati; Bacillota; Clostridia; Eubacteriales; Peptococcaceae
Description: bacterial SSU rRNA
Rfam family: Bacterial small subunit ribosomal RNA
Source: RNAcentral